RNAcentral lists this transfer RNA (55 nucleotides) under Cylicocyclus insigne. RNAcentral describes it as "tRNA-Cys". Lineage: Eukaryota; Metazoa; Nematoda; Chromadorea; Rhabditida; Strongylidae. The record is from RNAcentral.
AAACUUUUAGUAUAAGUAGUAUUUUUAAUUGCAAAUUAAAAGGUUAAAAGUUUUA